This 433-nucleotide ribosomal RNA is filed under the name uncultured bacterium. RNAcentral describes it as "partial 16S ribosomal RNA". It matches the Rfam family "Bacterial small subunit ribosomal RNA", at positions 29 to 507 of the family's 1533-position model. The record is from RNAcentral.
AACGAACGCUGGCGGCAUGCCUAACACAUGCAAGUCGAACGAGACCUUCGGGCCUUGUGGCGCACGUGUACGUGACGCGGGGUGACCUGCCCGUAAGUUCGGAAUACCUCACUGUAAGGUGUGUUAAGACCGGUUAAUGUCAUCCGGCCAAAGAUUUGUCGCCGUUGGGUGGGCCCUCGUUGGAUUAGCGAGUUGGUAGGGUAAAAGCCUACCAAGGCGACGAUCCAUAGCUGGUCUGAGAGGAGGAUCAGCCAGACUGGGGAUACGACCCGGGCCAGACUCCUACGGAACGGAGCAGUGUGGAAUAUUGGACACUGGGCGAUAGCCUGAUCCAGCAAUGCCGCGUGAGUGAUGAAGGCCUUAGUGUUGUAAAGCUCUUUUACCCGGCAUGAUAAUGACAGUACCGGGAGAAUAAGCUCCGGCUAACUCCGUG